This 97-nucleotide ribosomal RNA is filed under the name Enterococcus faecium. RNAcentral describes it as "partial 16S ribosomal RNA". It matches the Rfam family "Bacterial small subunit ribosomal RNA", at positions 1445 to 1533 of the family's 1533-position model. RNAcentral also lists the same sequence under 1 other name. Lineage: Bacteria; Bacillati; Bacillota; Bacilli; Lactobacillales; Enterococcaceae. The record is from RNAcentral.
GGAGCCAGCCGCCUAAGGUGGGAUAGAUGAUUGGGGUGAAGUCGUAACAAGGUAGCCGUAUCGGAAGGUGCGGCUGGAUCACCUCCUUUCUAAGGAA